RNAcentral lists this ribosomal RNA (492 nucleotides) under uncultured bacterium. Its description in RNAcentral is "partial 16S ribosomal RNA". It matches the Rfam family "Bacterial small subunit ribosomal RNA", at positions 29 to 507 of the family's 1533-position model. The record is from RNAcentral.
AGUGAACGCUGGCGGUAGGCCUAACACAUGCAAGUCGAACGGCAGCACAGUAAGAGCUUGCUCUUACGGGUGGCGAGUGGCGGACGGGUGAGGAAUACAUCGGAAUCUACUUUUUCGUGGGGGAUAACGUAGGGAAACUUACGCUAAUACCGCAUACGACCUACGGGUGAAAGCAGGGGAUCUUCGGACCUUGCGCGAUUGAAUGAGCCGAUGUCGGAUUAGCUAGUUGGCGGGGUAAAGGCCCACCAAGGCGACGAUCCGUAGCUGGUCUGAGAGGAUGAUCAGCCACACUGGUACUGAGACACGGUCCAGACUCCUACGGGAGGCAGCAGUGGGGAAUAUUGGACAAUAGGCGCAAGCCUGAUCCAGCCAUACCGCGUGGGUGAAGAAGGCCUUCGGGUUGUAAAGCCCUUUUGUUGGGAAAGAAAAGCAGCAGGUUAAUACCCCGCUGUUCUGACGGUACCCAAAGAAUAAGCACCGGCUAACUUCGUG